GUUGUCGGAUUCGCAUCAAUCCACAUGUAUUGAGGUAGGUUGGAGUAGAACUUAAACUAAAUUUCACCUCAAUCCACUCCAACACAUGUGAAUUGAGGUGAACUCGACA
Sorghum bicolor (sorghum) is the source of this 109-nucleotide microRNA precursor. It matches the Rfam family "MIR5565 microRNA precursor family". The record is from Rfam. Lineage: Eukaryota; Viridiplantae; Streptophyta; Magnoliopsida; Poales; Poaceae.